AGUGAACGCUGGCGGUAGGCCUAACACAUGCAAGUCGAACGGCAGCACAGUAAGAGCUUGCUCUUACGGGUGGCGAGUGGCGGACGGGUGAGGAAUACAUCGGAAUCUACUUUUUCGUGGGGGAUAACGUAGGGAAACUUACGCUAAUACCGCAUACGACCUACGGGUGAAAGCAGGGGAUCUUCGGACCUUGCGCGAUUGAAUGAGCCGAUGUCGGAUUAGCUAGUUGGCGGGGUAAAGGCCCACCAAGGCGACGAUCCGUAGCUGGUCUGAGAGGAUGAACAGGCACACUUGAACUUGAGCACCGUCCAGACUCCUACGGGAGGGAACAGUGGGGAAAAAUUGGCAAAUGGGGGCAACCUUGUCCAACCAAACCGCGGUGGGUAAAGAAGCCUUCGGGGUGGUAAAGCCUUUUUGUUGGGAAAAAAAGCAACAGGGUUAAUCCCCGCUGGCCUUGCCGGACCCAAAAGAUAAGCACCGGCUAACUUCGGG
Molecule: ribosomal RNA, 492 nt
Filed under: uncultured bacterium
Lineage: Bacteria
Description: partial 16S ribosomal RNA
Rfam family: Bacterial small subunit ribosomal RNA
Source: RNAcentral